RNAcentral lists this ribosomal RNA (371 nucleotides) under uncultured organism. Its description in RNAcentral is "bacterial SSU rRNA". It matches the Rfam family "Bacterial small subunit ribosomal RNA", at positions 526 to 896 of the family's 1533-position model. The record is from RNAcentral.
CGUAGGGUGCGAGCGUUAAUCGGAAUUACUGGGCGUAAAGCGUGCGCAGGCGGUUUGUUAAGAUAGGCGUGAAAUCCCCGGGCUCAACCUGGGAACUGCGCUUAUGACUGGCAAGCUAGAGUACGGCAGAGGGGGUGGAAUUCCACGUGUAGCAGUGAAAUGCGUAGAGAUGUGGAGGAACACCAAUGGCGAAGGCAGCCCCCUGGGUCGAUACUGACGCUCACGCACGAAAGCGUGGGUAGCAAACAGGAUUAGAUACCCUGGUAGUCCACGCCCUAAACGAUGUCAACUAGGUGUUGGAUGGGUAAAACCAUUUAGUACCGGAGCUAACGCGUGAAGUUGACCGCCUGGGGAGUACGGCCGCAAGGUUA